RNAcentral lists this long non-coding RNA (255 nucleotides) under Homo sapiens (human). RNAcentral describes it as "LHRI_LNC554.1". Lineage: Eukaryota; Metazoa; Chordata; Mammalia; Primates; Hominidae. The record is from RNAcentral.
GCAUAAGAGAAGUGCAGAGCAGCAGUAGGGACCCAGCUCCACACAGGUAACAAAUUGGUAGUGAACAUCAUUCACCUAGUUUUGUGACUCUCCAGCAAUGUUGGGAAGCUUGCUAAUACAAACUGAUGUAAAGAGCAGUGAGGGUUAUCAGGGUUGUGCACUGGGAAGAAGAGAUGAUGGAAGGUCAAAGUGGCUCUAGGCAGACAGCAAACAAGCGCACUGUUCAACAAAAUGACCUAUGCAUUUCAAACUGGG